RNAcentral lists this long non-coding RNA (1113 nucleotides) under Homo sapiens (human). Its description in RNAcentral is "HSALNT0315505". Lineage: Eukaryota; Metazoa; Chordata; Mammalia; Primates; Hominidae. The record is from RNAcentral.
UUUUUUGGAGACAGUGUCUUGCCCUGUCACCCAGGCUGGAGUGCAGUGGUGUGAUCUUGGUUCACUGCAGCCUCGACUUCCUGGGUUCAAGUGAUCCUUCUGCCUCAGCCUCCCAAAUAGCUGGGACUAUAGGCAUGCAUCACCACACCCAGCUAAUUUCUGUAUUUUUUGUAGAGACACCGUUUCACCAUGUUGCCCAGGCUGGUCUCAAAACUCCUGUGCUCAAGCAGUCUGCCCGCCUUGGCUUCCCAAAGUGCUGACAUUACAGGUAUGAGCCACUGCACCCGGUCCCUAGUAGGGUAUUUUUAACUUGGCAAAAAGGGUAUUAAUCAGAAACAUACACUAUCCAUCACUGAGUAUUAUACUCUUGAUUUUGCAAUGUAAGAGUUUUAACCUAUUUGUCUGACAGAAGGUGUAAAAGUGCUGGACAUGCUGCAGAAAGAAACAGGAAAAGCAUCUUGCUGCACUCCAAAGAAUGCAAAUUUUAAUGUGCCUUCCAAUAAAUGCAAGGAAACCGAAAGAGUUAAUAGUAUCAUACAAUGACUGGGAUGUAUUGAUAAUGCUACAGUGAUCCAUUAACAGCACUUGUUCAGGUGCUGGGAAUGCAACUGGAUGACAGCCUUCACCCAUCAACCCUCUAUGGGAAUUGUCCUGAGCUGAAGGGAGCCACCUUAUCCAAGACCACUCUCUUUUCCUGGGGAUAGCCUGCCUCUCAUAUCUGGUUUUUUUCUUCUACUACACAGCUGUGUAGUUCCGUUAUGGCUUUAUCUCCAUCAACAGCAAUGCCUAGGAGGGAGUCAAACAGAUUCCAAGUGAGAAAAGGAGUUAACAUGCCAUUGCUGCUUUGAAGAUGGAAGGAGCCUGUGGCGAGGAUAUGAAGGGCCUCUAGAAGCUGUGAGCAGCCCCCAGCUCACAGCCAGCAAGCAAACAAGGACCUCAGCUCAGCAACAGCAAGGACGUGAAUCCUGCCAAUAACAGAAAUGAGCUUGAAAGAAGACACCAAGCUCCAGGUAAGAAAGCAGCCAGCCAACACUUAGAGCCUUGUGAAACUCUAAGCAGAGAACCCACCCAUGCUAUUCUAGACUUCUGACUACAGAACUGUGAGAUAUUAAA